This 653-nucleotide unclassified non-coding RNA is filed under the name Zea mays. RNAcentral describes it as "misc RNA Zm00001eb233970". The record is from RNAcentral. Lineage: Eukaryota; Viridiplantae; Streptophyta; Magnoliopsida; Poales; Poaceae.
CUUCAACGUGAGCAAUUAGGGCUUCAGCGCGAGCAAGUAGGAGGUGGCUAGCGCGAUGACAAGGGGUUGCGUGGGCGGAGAUGCCGACACAGGGGAGAGGUGCACAGGGUAUCCAUGUCGGGGAAGAGGUGUUUGACACUGGAGGACGGCACAUAGGGGCGAGAGCGGCCGGGGGGAAGGAGGCCCCCACAACCAGAGAGACAGCGGAGGACGAGAUGUUCGCAGCGUGAAAGGAGGUCGUCGGAGAGGCCACAGUCGUCGUUGCAGGAAGGGGAGACGGGAGGAAUGGCGCCGAGGGAGCUCUCUGCGUUUAGGAAGAGAGAGAGGCUGGUCCGAUGGUGCCCUGCGCUCGGAGGAGAGAGGGAGCAGGAGGCCGGCGCCAUGGAGGGAGAAGGGGAGCUGCUCGCCUGGGCGCCAUGGAGAGCAGAUCGUACAACAAAUAGGCGGGGGAGGAGGCUCGGCGGUCGUGGCAUAGGGCCACCGGCGCGGGCGCUUGCUUCGGGUGCGCGCUCCAAGGCGGCCGCGGACCAGCGCCUGGCGCGGCGCUCUGAAGCCAGGUGGCGGCGGCCGGCUCCUGGAGGCCAUGGCAGCGCGCAAGCACGACCGGCGCGCAGAGGUGGCGGUCAUGGCGCGGCCGCGGUCGGCCACCACCG